Molecule: ribosomal RNA, 449 nt
Filed under: uncultured bacterium
Lineage: Bacteria
Description: partial 16S ribosomal RNA
Rfam family: Bacterial small subunit ribosomal RNA
Source: RNAcentral
AAUGAACGCUGGCGGCAGGCCUAACACAUGCAAGUCGAACGGAUCCUUCGGGAUUAGUGGCGGACGGGUGAGUAACGCGUGGGAACAUACCCUUUGGUACGGAAUAGCCUCGGGAAACUGGGAGUAAUACCGUAUGUGGUCGAGAGACGAAAGAUUUAUCGCCAAAGGAUUGGCCCGCGUUGGAUUAGGUAGUUGGUGGGGUAAUGGCCUACUAAGCCGACGAUCCAUAGCUGGUUUGAGAGGAUGAUCAGCCACACUGGGACUGAGAUACGGCCCAGACUCCUACGGGAGGCAGCAGUGGGGAAUCUUAGACAAUGGGGGAAACCCUGAUCUAGCCAUGCCGCGUGAUCGAUGAAGGCCUUAGGGUUGUAAAGAUCUUUCAGGUGGGAAGAUAAUGACUGUACCACCAGAAGAAGCCCCGGCUAACUCCGUGCCAGCCGCCGCAGUAA